UACGUAGGGUGCAAGCGUUAAUCGGAAUUAUUGGGCGUAAAGAGCUCGUAGGCGGUCUGUCGCGUCGGCUGUGAAAACCUGGGGCUCAACUCCGGGCCUGCAGCCGAUACGGGCAGACUAGAAUUCGGUAGGGGAGACUGGAAUUCCUGGUGUAGCGGUGAAAUGCGCAGAUAUCAGGAGGAACACCGGUGGCGAAGGCGGGUCUCUGGGCCGAUAUUGACGCUGAGGAGCGAAAGCGUGGGGAGCGAACAGG
RNAcentral lists this ribosomal RNA (253 nucleotides) under uncultured bacterium. RNAcentral describes it as "partial 16S ribosomal RNA". It matches the Rfam family "Bacterial small subunit ribosomal RNA", at positions 524 to 776 of the family's 1533-position model. The record is from RNAcentral.